AUGUCGCCACAUAAGAAGAUCGUCGGUGGAUAUGAAAUAAAUCAGGCCAAUAGUGACCGCAUAUGUCGACACCCUAGCUAUUGUGUUUGCAAUGGAUUGGACUUAGAUAUGAAUUAUGUUUUGGUUACACUGAACAAAGAAGAUGACCAGUGGUACUGCAAGUUUACCUAUUGGAGUAGAUGUCCUGAUGCCUUGGAAGCAGAAUUGUGCGCUUGUAUGGAGGGUUUAUCUUCUGCCCUUAUGAGAACUGAGCUACCUAUCGAAUUGGAGGUUGAUUCUUUGGAAGUAGUUAAGAUGGUGCAGACAGAUGACAUCAACAGAUCACUUUAUGCUUAUCUUAUUAGAGAGAUCAAAUUGAUGAUGAGUCUUAGGGAGACUAGUAUUACUCAUAUUCGUAAACCCCAAAAUAAAGUUAGUGAUUGUUUAGCUAUCUUUGCUAGGGAGGAAGGUAGAACCAUGACUUGGUUAGGUUCUGGACCUCCCAGAGUUUUCAACUCGCUGCUUCAUAUUGUAACACUGUUGGAGUUUGAGUAA
This 534-nucleotide ribosomal RNA is filed under the name Triticum aestivum (bread wheat). RNAcentral's name for it is "partial small subunit ribosomal RNA". The record is from RNAcentral. Lineage: Eukaryota; Viridiplantae; Streptophyta; Magnoliopsida; Poales; Poaceae.